AGAGUUUGAUCAUGGCUCAGAUUGAACGCUGGCGGCAGGCCUAACACAUGCAAGUCGAGCGGCAGCGGGUCCUUCGGGAUGCCGGCGAGCGGCGGACGGGUGAGUAAUGCCUAGGAAUCUGCCUGGUAGUGGGGGAUAACUCGGGGAAACUCGAGCUAAUACCGCAUACGUCCUACGGGAGAAAGCGGGGGAUCUUCGGACCUCGCGCUAUCAGAUGAGCCUAGGUCGGAUUAGCUAGUUGGUGGGGUAAUGGCUCACCGAGGCGACGAUCCGUAACUGGUCUGAGAGGAUGAUCAGUCACACUGGGACUGAGACACGGUCCAGACUCCUACGGGAGGCAGCAGUGGGGAAUAUUGGACAAUGGGCGAAAGCCUGAUCCAGCCAUGCCGCGUGUGUGAAGAAGGUCUUCGGAUUGUAAAGCACUUUAAGUUGGGAGGAAGGGCAGUAAGUUAAUACCUUGCUGUUUUGACGUUACCGACAGAAUAAGCACCGGCUAACUUCGUGCCAGCAGCCGCGGUAAUACGAAGGGUGCAAGCGUUAAUCGGAAUUACUGGGCGUAAAGCGCGCGUAGGUGGUUCAGCAAGUUGGAGGUGAAAUCCCCGGGCUCAACCUGGGAACUGCCUCCAAAACUACUGAGCUAGAGUACGGUAGAGGGUGGUGGAAUUUCCUGUGUAGCGGUGAAAUGCGUAGAUAUAGGAAG
Molecule: ribosomal RNA, 700 nt
Filed under: uncultured bacterium
Lineage: Bacteria
Description: bacterial SSU rRNA
Rfam family: Bacterial small subunit ribosomal RNA
Source: RNAcentral